CAGUAUAAAAUCGUAGAUGGAAUGUUUAUUUUUAUGUGUCGAAGUUUUUAUCAUCAUUCACAUUGUAAAGCAAUCAUUUACCACCUUGAACAAAUGGAUUCAAUUCCAGACUUCAAAUAUUUUUCAGAGAGAAUUCAAUUUCAGCCAGGCUUCUUCAAUCCCAUCCUUCAAUCUUUCAGUUAAACUCUUGAACCACCAAGCUAUUGGAAAAUUUAUGAGGUGGUCUAAAAAUGGCUGCUGUCAAAAAUAUCUGUUAGCAGAUUAAUUCAAAUUAACCUAAUCAGGUUCCUAGCAAAAAUAAACAAUUACUUUUUAAUGCCUCUUCCCAAUCAUUGGCUGACUUCUAUAUAAUGAUAUCCAUUCCAGAUGCAAUUAUGAAUUAUAUCUGUGGUGGAGUCAUAGGACUUUACAAUAAGUGAAUUAAUGCCUCGGGCAGAUCCAUUAAAAAUUUUAUAGAAACAUGGAAUGUAAAUUCCCUGCUUCUAUGCAUUUAGGAUGGGUUUGAAUAGGUCAAACCUGGACAUCUAAAAUAAAUAAUUUUGGGAGGUAUGAUACCCAAAAUUAAAUAUGAAUACUGCAUGGUGAAAAUAUAUGCUUCCAUCAUGGAGAUAGCUCAAUUAAUCAGUUAAUUGGCUGCCAAUAUUAUAAAAUCAUUGAUGACUGCCAUUGUAAAUACAAAUUUUUGACAUAAAUAAUUGCUGUCAUGAAUUGGAGAUUUCCUAUAUAGUCAUCUUCAAAAUUACAUUGUUUUGAUAUUGGAAACAUAAAUUGAGG
RNAcentral lists this long non-coding RNA (774 nucleotides) under Androctonus crassicauda. Lineage: Eukaryota; Metazoa; Arthropoda; Arachnida; Scorpiones; Buthidae. The record is from RNAcentral.